Molecule: non-coding RNA, 72 nt
Organism: Phrynosoma platyrhinos (Desert horned lizard)
Lineage: Eukaryota; Metazoa; Chordata; Lepidosauria; Squamata; Phrynosomatidae
Source: the annotation of a GenBank genome assembly
ACCAACUUGGUAUAGUGGUUUGAGCAUUAGAUUAAAGCUCUGGAGGCCAGAGUUCAAAUCUCUGUUUGGGCA